GACGAACGCUGGCGGCGUGCUUAACACAUGCAAGUCGAGCGAGGCCCGCUCUUCGGGGUGGUGCCCUAGCGGCGAACGGGUGAGUAACACGUGGGCAACCUGCCCUCAGCUCUGGGAUAACUCCAAGAAAUUGGUGCUAAUACCGGAUGUGACCGCUGACCGCAUGGUCUGGUGGUGGAAAGAUUUAUCGGCUGAGGAUGGGCCCGCGGCCUAUCAGCUUGNGGUGGGGUCACGGCCCACCAAGGCGACGACGGGUAGCCGGCCUGAGAGGGUGACCGGCCACACUGGGACUGAGACACGGCCCAGACUCCUACGGGAGGCAGCAGUGGGGAAUAUUGCGCAAUGGGCGAAAGCCUGACGCAGCGACGCCGCGUGA
RNAcentral lists this ribosomal RNA (376 nucleotides) under uncultured bacterium. RNAcentral's name for it is "bacterial SSU rRNA". It matches the Rfam family "Bacterial small subunit ribosomal RNA", at positions 28 to 404 of the family's 1533-position model. The record is from RNAcentral.